Molecule: ribosomal RNA, 139 nt
Filed under: uncultured eukaryote
Lineage: Eukaryota
Description: partial 18S ribosomal RNA
Rfam family: Eukaryotic small subunit ribosomal RNA
Source: RNAcentral
UGGUGGGUUGCCUUGUCAGGUUGAUUCCGGUAACGAACGAGACCUCAGCCUGCUAAAUAGUCCGUCUUGGUUUUUCCAGGGCGCUGACUUCUUAGAGGGACCCUCGGCGACUAGCCGAUGGAAGUGUGAGGCGAUAACA